GACGUAGGGGGCCAGCGUUGUUCGGAAUUACUGGGUGUAAAGGGUUCGUAGGCGGUGCGGCAAGUCGGGAGUGAAAUCUCUGGGCUUAACCCAGAGGCUGCUUCCGAAACUGCUGUGCUUGAGUGUGGGAGAGGCGCGUGGAAUUGCAGGUGUAGCGGUGAAAUGCGUAGAUAUCUGCAGGAACACCCGUGGCGAAAGCGGCGAGCUGGACCACUACUGACGCUGAAGAACGAAAGCUAGGGGAGCAAACAGG
RNAcentral lists this ribosomal RNA (253 nucleotides) under uncultured bacterium. RNAcentral describes it as "partial 16S ribosomal RNA". It matches the Rfam family "Bacterial small subunit ribosomal RNA", at positions 524 to 776 of the family's 1533-position model. The record is from RNAcentral.